Molecule: ribosomal RNA, 406 nt
Filed under: uncultured bacterium
Lineage: Bacteria
Description: bacterial SSU rRNA
Rfam family: Bacterial small subunit ribosomal RNA
Source: RNAcentral
UGGGAAUAUUGGACAAUGGGAGAAAUCCUGAUCCAGCUACCCCGCGUGAGUGAUGAAGGCCUUCGGGUCGUAAAGCUCUUUUAGGAGGGACGAAGGGAAACUUGACGGUACCUCCAGAAAAAGCACCGGCUAACUCUGUGCCAGCAGCCGCGGUAAUACAGAGGGUGCAAGCGUUGUUCGGAAUCAUUGGGCGUAAAGCGCGUGUAGGCGGCCAUCUCAGUCUGGUGUGAAAGCCCGGGGCUUAACCCCGGAAGUGCACUGGAUACUAGGUGGCUAGAGGGUAUGAGGGGAGAUUGGAAUUCAUGGUGUAGGGGUGAAAUCCGUAGAUAUCAUGAGGAACAUCAGUGGCGAAGGCGAAUCUCUGGCAUAUUUCUGACGCUGAGACGCGAAAGCGUGGGGAGCAAAC